RNAcentral lists this ribosomal RNA (433 nucleotides) under uncultured bacterium. RNAcentral describes it as "partial 16S ribosomal RNA". It matches the Rfam family "Bacterial small subunit ribosomal RNA", at positions 29 to 507 of the family's 1533-position model. The record is from RNAcentral.
AACGAACGCUGGCGGCAUGCCUAACACAUGCAAGUCGAACGAGACCUUCGGGUCUAGUGGCGCACGGGUGCGUAACGCGUGGGAACCUUCCCUUAGGUUCGGAAUACCUCCCCGACAGGGGUGCUAAUGCCGGAUAAUGUCUUCGGACCAAAGAUUUAUUGCCUUUGGUUGGGCCGGAGUUGGAUUAGCUAGUUGGUAGGGUAAAAGCCUACUAAGGCGACGAUCCAUAGAUGGUCUGAGAGGAUGAUCAGCCACACUGGGACUGAGACACGGCCCAGACUCCUACGGGAGGCAGCAGUGGGGAAUAUUGGACAAUGGGCGAAAGCCUGAUCCAGCAAUGCCGCGUGAGUGAUGAAGGCCUUAGGGUUGUAAAGCUCUUUUAACCGGGAUGAUAAUGACAGUACCGGGAGAAUAAGCCCCGGCUAACUCCGUG